RNAcentral lists this ribosomal RNA (497 nucleotides) under uncultured bacterium. RNAcentral's name for it is "partial 16S ribosomal RNA". It matches the Rfam family "Bacterial small subunit ribosomal RNA", at positions 28 to 507 of the family's 1533-position model. The record is from RNAcentral.
GACGAACGCUGGCGGCGUGCCUAAUACAUGCAAGUCGAACGCUGAAGAGAGGAGCUUGCUCUUCUUGGAUGAGUUGCGAACGGGUGAGUAACGCGUAGGUAACCUGCCUGGUAGCGGGGGAUAACUAUUGGAAACGAUAGCUAAUACCGCAUAAAAUUGAUUAUUGCAUGAUAAUUAAUUGAAAGAUGCAACUGCAUCACUACCAGAUGGACCUGCGUUGUAUUAGCUAGUUGGUGAGGUAACGGCUCACCAAGGCGACGAUACAUAGCCGACCUGAGAGGGUGAUCGGCCACACUGGGACUGAGACACGGCCCAGACUCCUACGGGAGGCAGCAGUAGGGAAUCUUCGGCAAUGGGGGGAACCCUGACCGAGCAACGCCGCGUGAGUGAAGAAGGUUUUCGGAUCGUAAAGCUCUGUUGUAAGAGAAGAACGGGUGUGAGAGUGGAAAGUUCACACUGUGACGGUAUCUUACCAGAAAGAGACGGCUAACUACGUG